GGAUGUGAGGGUGAUCUGGCUGUGACAUAUGUCACACCAUUGAUGGCCAGGGUUGAUUCUGCUGAUCUGAUUGACUAGGUGGGUGUCCCCUUUCUCCCUCACCACUCCAUGUGCGUCCCUCCCAAAGCUAUGUGCUUGGUAGAAGAGGAUGAAGUUCCUCAAAUAGAGACAGACAAUCUUCAGUCCAGGGAAUAUGAAGGGCUGUGCUCCUUUGCUAAACUCUCCAAACAAACUUUCAAGAAUCACACCAGGAAGAAUGAAGAGACCUGGGUUUGCUGUGUGAAUUGGAGAAGCCACCUCACAUCUUCAUGUAAUAAACAAGACACUGAAACCAGCUCAUUUGUGCAGCUUGCUUUAUUCUUAU
Molecule: unclassified non-coding RNA, 364 nt
Organism: Erinaceus europaeus (western European hedgehog)
Lineage: Eukaryota; Metazoa; Chordata; Mammalia; Eulipotyphla; Erinaceidae
Gene: 7SK
Rfam family: 7SK RNA
About the family: 7SK was discovered as an abundant small nuclear RNA in the mid-70s but a possible function has only recently been suggested. Two independent studies have found that 7SK RNA binds the CDK9/cyclin T complex (known as elongation factor P-TEFb). P-TEFb activates transcription by phosphorylating the C-terminal domain of RNA polymerase II.
Source: Ensembl